Non-coding RNA from Paramuricea clavata, 261 nucleotides. The record is from the annotation of a GenBank genome assembly. NCBI's taxonomy places the organism in Eukaryota, Metazoa, Cnidaria, Anthozoa, Malacalcyonacea, Plexauridae.
UUCAUGGGUAAAUAAUUCGAUUAUUAAGCUUAUUUACAUGGCAGUUCUAAAACUGCCAACUGUUGGGGGUUAUAUUUUUUAACUGAUCCCAGAUCGCUUGUUUCAAGAUUUAAUAUUAAAAUCCUCCAAUAAUAUGUAGAACAGACUUUGUGAUUUUCAUAUGAACUUUCCAUACUUUCAAACAAACAAUGAAGGUCAACUUGAACAAGAGAAGAUUGAGAUGACAAAUCAGGAACCCAAUUAGUUAUAAAUCUGUUUUCA